GGCGGCGCGCCUAACACAUGCAAGUCGAACGAGAGAUGAAGAGCUUAGCUCUUCAAAUCGAGUGGCGAACGGGUGAGUAACGGCGUGAGGAACCUGCCUCAAAGAGGGGGACAACAGUUGGAAACGACUGCUAAUACCGCAUAAGCCCACGGCUCGGCAUCGAGCAGAGGGAAAAGGAGCAAUCCGGCUUUGAGAUGGCCUCGCGUCCGAUUAGCUAGUUGGUGAGGUAACAGCCCACCAAGGCGACGAUCGGUAGCCGGACUGAGAGGGUUGAACGGCCACAUUGGGACUGAGACACGGCCCAGACUCCUACGGGAGGCAGCAGUGGGGAAUAUUGCACAAUGGGGGAAACCCUGAUGCAGCGACGCCGCGUGGAGGAAGAAGGUCUUCGGAUUGUAAACUCCUGUUGUUGAGGAAGAUAAUGACGGUACUCAACAAGGAAGUGACGGCUAACUACGUG
This 460-nucleotide ribosomal RNA is filed under the name uncultured bacterium. RNAcentral describes it as "bacterial SSU rRNA". It matches the Rfam family "Bacterial small subunit ribosomal RNA", at positions 38 to 507 of the family's 1533-position model. The record is from RNAcentral.